GGUCAAGUUAUUAAGGGUGCAGGGCGGAUGCCUUGGCACUAGGAGCCGAUGAAGGACGUGAUAAGCUGCGAUAAGCUUCGGGGAGUUGCACGUAAACUUUGAUCCGAAGAUUUCCGAAUGAGGAAACUCACUUAGAGUAAUGUCUAAGUAUCAUUAAGUGAAUACAUAGCUUAAUGAGGGGAACUCAGGGAACUGAAACAUCUAAGUACCUGAAGGAAGAGAAAGAAAUUCGAUUCCGUAAGUAGCGGCGAGCGAACGCGGAUUAGCCCAAACCAAUA
This 278-nucleotide ribosomal RNA is filed under the name Klebsiella pneumoniae. RNAcentral describes it as "partial 23S ribosomal RNA". It matches the Rfam family "Bacterial large subunit ribosomal RNA", at positions 1 to 279 of the family's 2925-position model. RNAcentral also lists the same sequence under 1 other name. The record is from RNAcentral. Lineage: Bacteria; Pseudomonadati; Pseudomonadota; Gammaproteobacteria; Enterobacterales; Enterobacteriaceae.